UUUACUAGUUUUGCUAGCAAGGGAAGGUCAUGAAGAGUCUCUACCUGAUGAUAAUGUUAUUUAUGUUCUUCUUUCCAUAUGCUUGUGUUUUUCGAGUUCUAAAUGCAACUUGUGAUAAAAAAAUUCUCAUGCCCUCUAGUGGAUUGAGGAUAUCUUUCUUCGUUUCUUAGACUGGUGUGAUGAACAUGGAGUAUGUUUUGAUGAUCUUUGCUGUUUUUUCCAUAGAAUAUUUCACAAAUAGUGAUGCUAAGGGUGUACCAUUACAUUUGUAUCUAUCGCCAAAUUAUGUCGGUCCAUUUCCAUUAAUUACUAAAAGUUUUUAAGUCACUCGAGUUCUAUUUUAUAACCUGAUUUGAAUUUGAAAUUUUCACCAAUGACUUCUCACCUCAUCAAAUGAGGUUGAAUCUCAACAAUCUGUUUUUUCCCCUUUAGCAUGAGAAGCUGCUUGAGAGAGAGAUUUCACCUUCAGAUCCGAAUAACGUGGAGAUGCCUGCACUAGAGUUUGGCAGCGGCAGAAGUUGCAAACUCGGAAACACAAAGGAAUCAGUUACCAGAUGAUCAUAACGACAAAAACAUCAAAGAACUAGAACCUUCGACAGGCUGAGGACAUGGCAGCUCGCGAAGGUCAUAUGUCUUAGAGGAAAUGUGCAGGCAGCAUCG
Molecule: long non-coding RNA, 660 nt
Organism: Hibiscus syriacus
Lineage: Eukaryota; Viridiplantae; Streptophyta; Magnoliopsida; Malvales; Malvaceae
Exons: 3
Source: RefSeq, a predicted model, not a curated record